UGGAUUAGGCAUGCAAGUCGAACGCGAACGUCGGGCUUCGGCCUGGCUAGUAGAGUGGCGAACGGGUGAGUAUCGCGUGGGCAAUCUACCCUCGAGUGGGGAAUAACCAUUCUAACGAGUGGCUAAUACCGCAUGUUUCCGUUUCCUCGCAUGGGGAGACGGGCAAAGGUGGGGAUCUUCGGACCUGCCGCUCGAGGAGGAGCCCGCGUCCCAUUAGCUUGUUGGUGGGGUCACGGCCCACCAAGGCGACGAUGGGUAGCCGAUCUGAGAGGAUGACCGGCCACACUGGGACUGAGAUACGGCCCAGACUCCUACGGGAGGCAGCAGUCGAGAGGCUUCGGCAAUGGGGGAAACCCUGACCGAGCGACGCCGCGUGCGGGAUGAAGGCAUUCGUGUCGUAAACCGCUGUCGGUAGGGAAGAACCCUUCCGGCUUAAUACGCCGGAAGCUGACGGUACCUGCAGAGGAAGCUCCGGCUAACUCCGUGCCAGCAGCCGCGGUAAUACGGAGGGAGCGAACGUUGUUCGGAUUCACUGGGCGUAAAGGGCGAGUAGGCGGCUUUGCAAGUCAGGGGUGAAAUGUCUCGGCUCAACCGAGGACCUGCCUCUGAAACUGCUGGGCUUGAGGUCGCGAGAGGAAACUGGAAUUCCUAGUGUAGCGGUGAAAUGCAUAGAUAUUAGGAAGAACACCAGAGGCGAAGGCGAGUUUCUGGCGCGAACCUGACGCUGAGUCGCGAAAGCUAGGGGAGCGAACGGGAUUAGAUACCCCGGUAGUCCUAGCCGUAAACGAUGGGUACUAAGUGUUGGCCGCUUCGACCCGGUCAGUGCUGUAGCUAACGCGUUAAGUACCCCGCCUGGGGAGUACGGCCGCAAGGUUGAAACUCAAAGGAAUUGACGGGGGCCCGCACAAGCGGUGGA
Molecule: ribosomal RNA, 916 nt
Filed under: uncultured bacterium
Lineage: Bacteria
Description: bacterial SSU rRNA
Rfam family: Bacterial small subunit ribosomal RNA
Source: RNAcentral